This 2901-nucleotide ribosomal RNA is filed under the name Escherichia coli O114:H49. RNAcentral describes it as "bacterial LSU rRNA". It matches the Rfam family "Bacterial large subunit ribosomal RNA". Lineage: Bacteria; Pseudomonadati; Pseudomonadota; Gammaproteobacteria; Enterobacterales; Enterobacteriaceae. The record is from RNAcentral.
UUAAGCGACUAAGCGUACACGGUGGAUGCCCUGGCAGUCAGAGGCGAUGAAGGACGUGCUAAUCUGCGAUAAGCGUCGGUAAGGUGAUAUGAACCGUUAUAACCGGCGAUUUCCGAAUGGGGAAACCCAGUGUGAUUCGUCACACUAUCAUUAACUGAAUCCAUAGGUUAAUGAGGCGAACCGGGGGAACUGAAACAUCUAAGUACCCCGAGGAAAAGAAAUCAACCGAGAUUCCCCCAGUAGCGGCGAGCGAACGGGGAGCAGCCCAGAGCCUGAAUCAGUGUGUGUGUUAGUGGAAGCGUCUGGAAAGGCGCGCGAUACAGGGUGACAGCCCCGUACACAAAAAUGCACAUGCUGUGAGCUCGAUGAGUAGGGCGGGACACGUGGUAUCCUGUCUGAAUAUGGGGGGACCAUCCUCCAAGGCUAAAUACUCCUGACUGACCGAUAGUGAAUCAGUACCGUGAGGGAAAGGCGAAAAGAACCCCGGCGAGGGGAGUGAAAAAGAACCUGAAACCGUGUACGUACAAGCAGUGGGAGCACGCUUAGGCGUGUGACUGCGUACCUUUUGUAUAAUGGGUCAGCGACUUAUAUUCUGUAGCAAGGUUAACCGAAUAGGGGAGCCGAAGGGAAACCGAGUCUUAACUGGGCGUUAAGUUGCAGGGUAUAGACCCGAAACCCGGUGAUCUAGCCAUGGGCAGGUUGAAGGUUGGGUAACACUAACUGGAGGACCGAACCGACUAAUGUUGAAAAAUUAGCGGAUGACUUGUGGCUGGGGGUGAAAGGCCAAUCAAACCGGGAGAUAGCUGGUUCUCCCCGAAAGCUAUUUAGGUAGCGCCUCGUGAAUUCAUCUCCGGGGGUAGAGCACUGUUUCGGCAAGGGGGUCAUCCCGACUUACCAACCCGAUGCAAACUGCGAAUACCGGAGAAUGUUAUCACGGGAGACACACGGCGGGUGCUAACGUCCGUCGUGAAGAGGGAAACAACCCAGACCGCCAGCUAAGGUCCCAAAGUCAUGGUUAAGUGGGAAACGAUGUGGGAAGGCCCAGACAGCCAGGAUGUUGGCUUAGAAGCAGCCAUCAUUUAAAGAAAGCGUAAUAGCUCACUGGUCGAGUCGGCCUGCGCGGAAGAUGUAACGGGGCUAAACCAUGCACCGAAGCUGCGGCAGCGACACUAUGUGUUGUUGGGUAGGGGAGCGUUCUGUAAGCCUGUGAAGGUGUACUGUGAGGUAUGCUGGAGGUAUCAGAAGUGCGAAUGCUGACAUAAGUAACGAUAAAGCGGGUGAAAAGCCCGCUCGCCGGAAGACCAAGGGUUCCUGUCCAACGUUAAUCGGGGCAGGGUGAGUCGACCCCUAAGGCGAGGCCGAAAGGCGUAGUCGAUGGGAAACAGGUUAAUAUUCCUGUACUUGGUGUUACUGCGAAGGGGGGACGGAGAAGGCUAUGUUGGCCGGGCGACGGUUGUCCCGGUUUAAGCGUGUAGGCUGGUUUUCCAGGCAAAUCCGGAAAAUCAAGGCUGAGGCGUGAUGACGAGGCACUACGGUGCUGAAGCAACAAAUGCCCUGCUUCCAGGAAAAGCCUCUAAGCAUCAGGUAACAUCAAAUCGUACCCCAAACCGACACAGGUGGUCAGGUAGAGAAUACCAAGGCGCUUGAGAGAACUCGGGUGAAGGAACUAGGCAAAAUGGUGCCGUAACUUCGGGAGAAGGCACGCUGAUAUGUAGGUGAAGUCCCUCGCGGAUGGAGCUGAAAUCAGUCGAAGAUACCAGCUGGCUGCAACUGUUUAUUAAAAACACAGCACUGUGCAAACACGAAAGUGGACGUAUACGGUGUGACGCCUGCCCGGUGCCGGAAGGUUAAUUGAUGGGGUUAGCGCAAGCGAAGCUCUUGAUCGAAGCCCCGGUAAACGGCGGCCGUAACUAUAACGGUCCUAAGGUAGCGAAAUUCCUUGUCGGGUAAGUUCCGACCUGCACGAAUGGCGUAAUGAUGGCCAGGCUGUCUCCACCCGAGACUCAGUGAAAUUGAACUCGCUGUGAAGAUGCAGUGUACCCGCGGCAAGACGGAAAGACCCCGUGAACCUUUACUAUAGCUUGACACUGAACAUUGAGCCUUGAUGUGUAGGAUAGGUGGGAGGCUUUGAAGUGUGGACGCCAGUCUGCAUGGAGCCGGCCUUGAAAUACCACCCUUUAAUGUUUGAUGUUCUAACGUUGACCCGUGAUCCGGGUUGCGGACAGUGUCUGGUGGGUAGUUUGACUGGGGCGGUCUCCUCCUAAAGAGUAACGGAGGAGCACGAAGGUUGGCUAAUCCUGGUCGGACAUCAGGAGGUUAGUGCAAUGGCAUAAGCCAGCUUGACUGCGAGCGUGACGGCGCGAGCAGGUGCGAAAGCAGGUCAUAGUGAUCCGGUGGUUCUGAAUGGAAGGGCCAUCGCUCAACGGAUAAAAGGUACUCCGGGGAUAACAGGCUGAUACCGCCCAAGAGUUCAUAUCGACGGCGGUGUUUGGCACCUCGAUGUCGGCUCAUCACAUCCUGGGGCUGAAGUAGGUCCCAAGGGUAUGGCUGUUCGCCAUUUAAAGUGGUACGCGAGCUGGGUUUAGAACGUCGUGAGACAGUUCGGUCCCUAUCUGCCGUGGGCGCUGGAGAACUGAGGGGGGCUGCUCCUAGUACGAGAGGACCGGAGUGGACGCAUCACUGGUGUUCGGGUUGUCAUGCCAAUGGCACUGCCCGGUAGCUAAAUGCGGAAGAGAUAAGUGCUGAAAGCAUCUAAGCACGAAACUUGCCCCGAGAUGAGUUCUCCCUGACUCCUUGAGAGUCCUGAAGGAACGUUGAAGACGACGACGUUGAUAGGCCGGGUGUGUAAGCGCAGCGAUGCGUUGAGCUAACCGGUACUAAUGAACCGUGAGGCUUAACCUU